CCAGCUCAGAUUUAUGCUUCUGAAAAAACUUUCCCACUGCGUGUGUGUGGCAGGUACAGCUAUGGGAAAGCAGUGCAAGGGACCAUGCGAGUGACUUUGUGCCAGAAGGCAAGGAGGCAUCCUCAAAAUGCCAGCAAGGACACCUGUAGGGAAUACAGCGGUCCGACCAUGAGCAAGGGGUGCUUUACCCCUUCGGUGAGCACGUCAGUCUUCAGCCUGGCUCCCAGCGAGGAGGAUGGCAAGCUCUAUGCAGAAGCCUCUCUCCUGGAGAUGGGCACAGGUACCCGGG
This 289-nucleotide long non-coding RNA is filed under the name Accipiter nisus (Eurasian sparrowhawk). RNAcentral's name for it is "lncRNA (ENSANIG00000016670.1)". Lineage: Eukaryota; Metazoa; Chordata; Aves; Accipitriformes; Accipitridae. The record is from RNAcentral.